UAGGGAAUCUUCCGCAAUGGACGAAAGUCUGACGGAGCAACGCCGCGUGAGUGAAGAAGGCUUUCGGUUCGUAAAACUCUGUUGUUAGGGAAGAAAAAAUGUAUAGUAACUAUAUACAAAAGAGACGGUACCUAACCAGAAAGCCACGGCUAACUACGUGCCAGCAGCCGCGGUAAUACGUAGGUGGCAAGCGUUGUCCGGAAUUAUUGGGCGUAAAGCGCGCGCAGGUGGUUUAGAAAGUCUGAUGUGAAAGCCCACGGCUCAACCGUGGAGGGUCAUUGGAACUAAUAAACUUGAGUGCAGGAGAGAAAAGUGGAAUUCCUAGUGUAGCGGUGAAAUGCGUAGAGAUUAGGAGGAACACCGGUGGCGAAAGCGGCUUUUUGGCCUGCAACUGACACUGAGGCGCGAAAGCGUGGGGAGCAAACAGG
Molecule: ribosomal RNA, 428 nt
Filed under: Verrucomicrobiota bacterium
Lineage: Bacteria; Pseudomonadati; Verrucomicrobiota
Description: Verrucomicrobia bacterium partial 16S ribosomal RNA
Rfam family: Bacterial small subunit ribosomal RNA
Source: RNAcentral